Molecule: long non-coding RNA, 478 nt
Organism: Labeo rohita (rohu)
Lineage: Eukaryota; Metazoa; Chordata; Actinopteri; Cypriniformes; Cyprinidae
Exons: 3
Source: RefSeq, a predicted model, not a curated record
CAGCUGCGGUACUAGGACGAUCCACGUAUCGCUUGGCAACCGAACAUCGUCCCUCAGUUCAGCGGCGCUCUCUCACUGUCUGCCACGCACACAGCGCUUCAUACAAUGAUUCCUCCACCCGGAAGAUGAGACAAGCCUACAGGAGCCGCAUCACACCGCCGCUUUAAAAGGCCGCGGAAGGCGAGCACGACUAUCCGGGCCAAGUUCACUGGCGCGACAGCAAACAGGUGUAAAGGAAGGACCGGUUCUCCGACCCCUUCGUCCAGGUGAUACCGACGCUUUAUUCCCUGAUGUUUACCUGAGAACUUUCGGCCUGUCGCCUGGAGUUUGAGGGACGUCAGCACUCACUGGCGGAAGGAGAAAUUUUAAAUGCGCAAGAAGAGCUUCCAGGCUGUGUCAGGCAGAGGUAUAUCAGGAUAAUCGAUUUCUUCCAGGUCAUCAGAGUCAUCUCAGCUGGACCGGCUGCGGGAGGUCGUCG